This 429-nucleotide ribosomal RNA is filed under the name bacterium. Its description in RNAcentral is "partial 16S ribosomal RNA". It matches the Rfam family "Bacterial small subunit ribosomal RNA", at positions 355 to 776 of the family's 1533-position model. The record is from RNAcentral.
UGGGGAAUAUUGGACAAUGGGCGCAAGCCUGAUCCAGCCAUGCCGCGUGUGUGAAGAAGGCCUUUUGGUUGUAAAGCACUUUAAGCGAGGAGGAGGCUACUGGAUUAAUACUCUAAGAUAGUGGACGUUACUCGCAGAAUAAGCACCGGCUAACUCUGUGCCAGCAGCCGCGGUAAUACAGAGGGUGCGAGCGUUAAUCGGAUUUACUGGGCGUAAAGCGUGCGUAGGCGGCUUCUUAAGUCGGAUGUGAAAUCCCUGAGCUUAACAUAGGAAUUGCAUUCGCUACUGGGAAGCUAGAGUAUGGGAGAGGAUGGUAGAAUUCCAGGUGUAGCGGUGAAAUGCGUAGAGAUCUGGGGGAAUACCGAUGGCGAAGGCAGCCAUCUGGCCUAAUACUGACGCUGAGGUACGAAAGCAGGGGGAGCAAACAGG